This 27-nucleotide non-coding RNA is filed under the name Rattus norvegicus (Norway rat). Lineage: Eukaryota; Metazoa; Chordata; Mammalia; Rodentia; Muridae. The record is from RNAcentral.
UGUGCGUGCGUUCGUUCGUUCCACAAA